CUCACCUUAAAUGUAUUGUACUUGUCCUUGCCCGUUGGGCGGUUUGACUCGGCGUUAUAAGUUAUUUCGCUGAGGACACUCGCAAGGGUGGCCGCCCAAAGAGCUUCUUGGUCUUGCUUCACAGUGUGUCACACGUAAAUGAAGCUGCAACAAACUUGACAUCUGGCCUCAAAUCAGGUAGGACUACCCGCUGAACUUAA
This 200-nucleotide unclassified non-coding RNA is filed under the name soil metagenome. RNAcentral's name for it is "partial contains internal transcribed spacer 2 and large subunit ribosomal RNA". The record is from RNAcentral.